RNAcentral lists this long non-coding RNA (205 nucleotides) under Trifolium pratense (red clover). RNAcentral describes it as "long non-coding RNA (TPRA_LNC010490)". The record is from RNAcentral. Lineage: Eukaryota; Viridiplantae; Streptophyta; Magnoliopsida; Fabales; Fabaceae.
AGGAACAAGCCGGGGCCAGUUAGUUGCUAGUUUCUAGAAAUCCAUACACAUAUAGUUGCUAGUUUCUACCUGGCUUCACAGUUAUGCGUUCAUUUUAAAUCGUGACAUGAGAUUUAGUUUUCUAACCGAUCCCUCUCUCCCUCCCGUUUAUUCUAUUCUAUACGUACACAAUUAUAUACUAACAAACUUUCAUAUAGUUGUGACC